AGAAGAGUCAGACAGGCAGGGAUCAGGAACCGGCAGAAGAGUCAGACAGGCAGGGAUCAGAGAACAGGCAGGAUCGGUGGUAGGUCAGGAUCUGAAUCGCGGGAAAGCACUGUGAAACACAAGAGACAAUCUGGCAGGGAAUGUUUGGGAGGAAAGGACUGAUAUAGGGGAAACACAGGUGAAGGUGGUUGGGUUAAUUGGGAGUGAUCAGGAAGGCAGGCAGGUGAAUGAGAAAACCUGGUCUGCCUCUGGUUUGAGAAACUGAAGAGACAUUGCCAGCCCUCUCCCACCAACUCUCUGCAGCAAGCCUUUGUGCGCCAGAGACAUGCCGAGUAUUUAGUGCAAAAAUCCAGGAACAUUACUAUGACCCAGACUCAGCUAAUGAAAUGGUGGAGAGUCAAUGGAUUGGUGUACCCAAAACUGGCCAGGCUGGCAAGGUCCGUCCUCUGCAUUCCAGCGAGCAGCAGCAGCAGCAGCGAGCAGGUGUUCAGCGCAGCUGGCCGAACGAUAGAGCAGAGAAGGACCGCUCUGAAACCAGCAACUGUGGACGAUCAAUCUUGUUCUUGCAUGACAACAUGUAGAACCAUGGCUCAGGCAGGAGGCUACCAUCAGAACUGACGGCUCAUCAACCUGGACUGUUUGAACCGGCCCAGUUUAAUAAAGACGCUUUAAAUUAGUCUAAACCAACAUUAGUUUGUCAAUUUUGUAUGUUCAUCUUCUGGUAUUGGAGUGUUAUUAUUGUAGCCCACCCUGCAUCAUUAGCCUAUCCCCUUGAUCCCUCGACGUGAGUCCCCGUUUUUGCCUUUGCCUUUGUAAAAUAUCAAAAUAUGCCCAUUUGUUGUGUUCAAAUUAUUCUAUUUACAUAAAAGUUUUUUAAUUUAUAGGCCUUUAAGGCUAGACCAUCCAAAGUUCAUUCUUGUUAGGGGUCCAAGCCAACAGGGCCCCGUUUCCCGAAAGCGUCGUUAGCCUAAGUGGAUCGUGAAGUGCGUCGAAAGGGCAUCGUAGAGUUUUCACCGCGUUUCCCGAAAGCAUCGUGGGGAACGAACGUCUUGAAAACGCUCGUAGCUAACGAGUACUCCAGGGGUGCUCGUAGGUACUCGUAGGACGCUAAGAGCAUCG
This is a long non-coding RNA of Gadus chalcogrammus (walleye pollock), 1119 nucleotides long. RefSeq lists it as uncharacterized. The transcript has 3 exons. NCBI's taxonomy places the organism in Eukaryota, Metazoa, Chordata, Actinopteri, Gadiformes, Gadidae. The record is from RefSeq and is a predicted model, not a curated record.